CCCGAAGGGAAGCCCGCCCUUUCCUUGAGGAGAAACCCGCCCUUUCCUUGAGGGAAACCCGCCCUUUCCUUAAGGAGAAACCCGCCUUUUCCUUGAGGGAAACCCGCUCUUUCCCUGAGGAGAAACCUGCCCUUUUCUUGAGGAGAAACCCGCCCUUUCCUAAAGGAGAAACCCGCCUUUUCCUUGAGGGAAACCCGCUCUUUCCAUGAGGAGAAACCCGCCCUUUCCUUGAGGAGAAACCCGCCCUUUUCUUGAGGAGAAACCCGCCCUUUUCUUGAGGAGAAACCCGCCCUUUCCUUGAGGGAAACCCGCCUUUCUUCAGUGCCCUGCUGAGCUCGAUGUGGCCUGUAUCCACUCAGCUUGUCUGCCUAGAACCCCAUCCUUUUAUUAUUAAUUAUCGAAUCAUAGAAUGUUCUGAGUUGCAAGGCACCCACAAUGGUCAUCGAGUCCAACGCCUGCCCCUGCAGGAGGCAACCAUGAGACACCACGUGUCCUUGAACAAGUAACAGUUGACUUGGGUUUCUACGUGUCUUGGACAGAUCUGAACCAGGAAAGUGGCGUUCGGAUAUCAGAGCUCAUCAAUUCACAUUUGAAAGACAUUGGCAGGUUUAACACGAGAGGUGGGAGGCCGAGCCAGCCGCCGCAGCUGAAGCGCAGCCGGAGGUCUGGGGCGCUCAGUCCGCCUCACAGCAUUCCUGCGCUCACUCAGGUGUAUGUAGGGAGGUAAUGUCUUAUAUGCUAUGUAAUAACUGAUUUUAUAACAUUAAAAGAGCAUCAAUGGGUUUCCUUUUUGUGUAGGAGUGAGGAUAAAAAUCUUAGAGGUGUAAAGUGUUUGGUUACUGAUGGGAACUGUGUAAGUUUCCACAAUAGAUAUCCCAGCUGAAAAAUAACACGAAUAAAAAACAAUAGUCAUGCCAGAGUGCUGGCAUUUCUUCUGUGCGAUGGGCAGACUAAAAUGAUAAUGAAAGAAAUAACAAUGGAAAAGCCAACCAUUGUCACGCAGGCUGACGUUGUCCUGUAUUAAUAGUGGUUACAGCUCUUUCUCCUCGCUGGUGGCGAAGGAUUCUCCCAAAAUCCCGGCGGAACGCGGUGAGCUGGACGGGGCAAGGGCUGAAUUUGAAUCUGAAGGUUUUAGGCCUGCUGUGGAAGGAAAGCCGGUGAUGGCGCAGACACAAAGCGCAGCAGGAGGAAGCGUAUGGGGCAUGUGGGUUGAAGGAGGGAUCGGCCGUGCAAGUGGUUGGAAAACGAGAUGACAGAGGAGGGGCAGAAACUUGAUUUCACAACUGCUGAUUCUAAUUGAAGACGACAAACCAAAAAGUAUCUCAUUUCUGUUUUUUUUUUAUUUGCCAGCGUUAAUGACUGCUGUGAUAUAGAAGGCACAGCACUGAUUAUCGCCACUUGGCGGCAGCAAACAAUAUAAAAAUCUUGCUUUAAAAAAAUCUGAUGGCCAGUGAAAGCGAUCAUGAGAUUGAGCUAAUGUCUGCAGGCCUCUACGUAUUUGACUAGAAGAACCUCGUGGUGCGUGCAUCUGGCAGCGUGACAUUAUUCCUGUGGAGCACAGAGUGCCCUCCGCACAGAGAAGCGCCGCUGGGGAUUUCUGCUGCCGUCCUCCGGGCCUCAGAGUUUCACUGUCUGCACUGAGGAGAGCCGGAAAGGAGAAUGGUGUCAUCACCUGAAGGGAAAUGAAAAUCAGAAAGAAACGAGGAGGGGAAAUUUUGCUGCUUAUUUUUAGACUCUGUGGGAUGGUGAUAGCGACUGUUUGGUGACAGCCUGCGUAAGGACCACGCCAGGGGAAAAGCUGAGGGUGGACAGCAACACUUCAGUUGCUCGUUUCACACGACAAGGCUUUGGCUUGGUUCUGGAUAGUUUGGCCGUUCCUCAGUUUCACGGUGAGGGAGGUGAUCAACGAACACGCUGACACGAAGGUCUCUGAAGGACAGGAGGGAAGGAAAUAUCCCGGUCAUGCAGAAAUUGUUCUAUCAAAAUGUCACAAUUAGAAAUGAAUGUGUAUGAUACAAACAUGGAGAAAUUAGAUGUUCGUUGCUAGAAAGAAUUUACCGUCUAACGUGAGGUGCAGUAGGAAUUUUGACGUGGCACAUUUGCAGCCUUGCUUUCGUUUUUCAUUUACUUCUUCACAACGGGCCCUUCCCAACCGUUUUGUCAAAGAGCUGCAAUAUGCAGCACAGCUCUUGAUAAUCCCAGUUCUUCCUGACUAAGCAAGAAUCUGAAACCAGAUGGGGACUGGGGUGAAUUCGCUUAGAAUAUACUUUUCAUAUGCCUAUAUAAAAAUAUGCAUAAACAUGAUACCCUCCUCUUGGGGGUAAAAGGUGGGACAUGAUACUUGUGAGAGGCACCGAGUUCUGCAAAUUAAGGCAACGGGGAGGGAAACAAAUGGCCUGUUAAAUAUAAAAAACGGCGUCUGCUUUUUGUUCUGGGCCUUUGGAAUCUGUGGGUGGAUUGGAACUGGCAGGCAGGGAGCAAACACCCACCCACCACAGGGCUGUGUGGUUCAGAAGUUUACAAGAGUAUUUGUGUUCCAGGAGCUGUUGGCCUUGAAGGCAACGGAGAGGGGGAGGAGAAGAGGCAGAGAACGAGAAAAACACUGUGGUGUGAGGGCCCUUCCUCGGAGAUAUUUUUCCCCUCUGCUUUCUCCAGCUAGAGGCCUUUGGAGCUGGAGCAAGACAAACAGUUAGUGGGGGAAAGAUGAGUGUGAUUUUAAGAUGCGCAGCGCUCAGUCUGUCGCAGGGGAGGCAGAGCCUUCAGAAGCCACUGCCACCUUAAUCCCAAAUGCCAGCUCCCAUCACCCCCCCGGCUCUGGCCCCGCUGCUGGUUAGUGCUGCAGUCAGUGGGCUAUAAAGGAAGGCAAGUUUUACUCUAUUAUUACUGUAUUAUUAUAGGAUUUGAGAAUGUUUAUUUCUGUCCCAUCACCAAUUUAGGUUCAGAAUGUGCCACUCUGGUCACGCUCUGGAUGCUGCAGAUACAGAAACUGAGGCACAGAGAGACCAAACAACGUGCCCAGGGCAACGGGAAGUCUGUGGGGGAUCUGGGAAUAGACCCCAGAUGUCCCGAGUUUUCCAUCUUAACCACAAGACCAUCCUUCCUGUCGUUCGGGUAGACCCCUCUGCUUCAGGAAUUCCGGUUUAUGAAUUCCACCCAUAAACAAUCUGUUGCACGAUGCAGUGAUUUAUUUGCUUAAAAGCCAUUUGGAAGGGAAAUGGCACCUCUCUGACAAUGAACUGCAGCUACUACUGUUCUUUCUUUGGGAGGGGUAGAGGGGAAGGAUGAAAAAACCCCCCAAAACCAAAACAGCUUCUAGAGCGAAGCAGCUUUUCCAUUGCUAUCGAAACUUCUCACAAGCAUUAAUUUUGUUCUUUAAAAGAAUCAGGAACUCCAUACAAUAUGUUUCAGUGUAUCUAGCCAUUUAUAUUUUAGUGAGCUUAAAAAGAACGACUGAAAUGGGACUAAAUCCAGCCAAGGAAUGAUUCUGGUGCUGUUGGCACCUGAGUACCUUUGGUGGUUUGGUGGCUUCCCUGGGCGUCGGGUGCUUGUCCCUCGUCACAGCCAGAACUUCUCUGGGAAGUGAAUGGUGGGAAGGGUUUUCUUUCUAAAAAAGCCAUUGCUUUGGAAAUGAGGGAAUAAGUGGAACGUCAGAGAUGUCCUUCAUUUUAUCAAAGCGUGGCAUAUUGAAAAUAAUUCUUAAGUAAAACCUUUUAGUUGCUGCUGUUACUCAGUGAAGAAUAUUCCUAGCUGUGCUUUCUCUGACCGUGGCAACCUCUGUAGCGUCAGGAAUCAACAAGGACUGUGUGGCCUCAAGCGUUAGAUUGCGUCUUCAGACCUUGCUGUUGUCGUAAUGUCUAAAAAUUCCGCUUGUGCAUCAGUGAAUCGGCGUGCGGCGCUUUGUAGAAACAAACUCAGAGGGCACUUCUUGCCAACAGUGGCUUUCUGUAACAAAGCAAUGUGGUGGAGACUCUCUGAAGUGUCUUCUCUCAGCACAUGAAGACAAAAAGUGAUGACUCAGACCAAUGUUCCUGUGUUUUCUGGACUCCCCUGCAGCACUUUAGAGCGAUGUCUAAGCUGGGUAUGUGAGCGUGGGUUCCUCACUGGAGAAAUGCUGAUUUAGUUGCAACACCAAAGCUCUUUUGCCACGCUGUGGCACCUCUUUGCUCUGAAAGGGAUUUCAGAAUAUAAAAAUACAAAUAAAAUAUGAGAGCUUGCUGCAUUCCCUGCUCCGUUACACUGAUUCUGAGUACCUUGCAAACUUGUUCUUUUCUGCUUGCUCUUUUAAUUAGCGUUUGGAUAUGUGUGUAUUUGUUCCUCCUCUUGUCCUGAUCUACCUGCUUGUUCUGCUUUUUACUGUAACGGUAAAAGCUCUUUCGGAGGAGGACACCCGGAUGCUCCAAUUCUGGGUCACCCAUCCUUCUAUACUAUGAGUGAUGCUUAAAGCCACUGUUGCAUUACAUUUUUUUAACAAUUGUAUUGGCCUGAAACUGCUGUCCAGCAUUUUUUUGGCGUGCACAACUGACAGAAUUGGGAGAGAACAGGCCUUUUAAGAUUGUGUCUUAUGUUUGUACUUAGAAUUCUAGAAAAAAGGGAGAA
Molecule: long non-coding RNA, 4596 nt
Organism: Columba livia (rock pigeon)
Lineage: Eukaryota; Metazoa; Chordata; Aves; Columbiformes; Columbidae
Exons: 5
Source: RefSeq, a predicted model, not a curated record